RNAcentral lists this unclassified non-coding RNA (456 nucleotides) under Hevea brasiliensis (rubber tree). Lineage: Eukaryota; Viridiplantae; Streptophyta; Magnoliopsida; Malpighiales; Euphorbiaceae. The record is from RNAcentral.
AAUCAACGCACUGGAGAACCUGUAGAUCCACAAAUGGAGGGGAUAUUUGAUAAUUAUUCCGUGAAGCGUCAGAUUGUUAAUUCUGGGCCUGUUAUAGCAUCUCAGCUGUUACUUGUUGAUGAAGUAAUUCGUGCUGGAAGAAACAUGAGGAAACCAACUUAGUUGUUUCUGUCUGAAAAUACUUCACUGAUUUUCCUGUACUUUUCAUCUUGCGAUUGUUUUGGAAUUAUCAGAGGAAGGAUGAAAAAACGAAGGUGGAGAUAGAUGAAAUAGGCGUUGAGAGUAGGGUGUUUUCAUUGGUCAGUUUGACAUUGUUCUGAAAGAUUUUGCUUGUGUAAUUUCUUGGUUUUCCAGUUUUUCUAAUUUUCCAAUGUCAUAUUGAAAUAAAAUUCGAUAUGGUUUGGUUUUCUAUUUUUCAACUUAAGUUUUGUAUAACUUUAAGUUGUACUUUUCUCG